GGUGUUGUGGCUCAGUGGUAGAGUGCUUGCCUGGCAUGUGUAAGGUACUGGGUUUAAUCCUCAGCACCA
This 69-nucleotide transfer RNA is filed under the name Ictidomys tridecemlineatus (thirteen-lined ground squirrel). RNAcentral describes it as "Spermophilus tridecemlineatus (thirteen-lined ground squirrel) tRNA". It matches the Rfam family "tRNA". From Rfam's summary of the family: Transfer RNA (tRNA) molecules are approximately 80 nucleotides in length. Their secondary structure includes four short double-helical elements and three loops (D, anti-codon, and T loops). The record is from Rfam by way of RNAcentral. Lineage: Eukaryota; Metazoa; Chordata; Mammalia; Rodentia; Sciuridae.